UACAGAGGUCUCGAGCGUUGUUCGGAUUCAUUGGGCGUAAAGGGCGCGUAGGCGGCGGGGUAAGUCUGGUGUGAAAUCUCGGAGCUCAACUCCGAAACUGCACUGGAUACUGCUCUGCUAGAGGGCUGGAGAGGAGAUCGGAAUUCACGGUGUAGCAGUGAAAUGCGUAGAUAUCGUGAGGAAGACCAGUGGCGAAGGCGGAUCUCUGGACAGCUCCUGACGCUGAGGCGCGAAGGCUAGGGGAGCGAACAGG
This 253-nucleotide ribosomal RNA is filed under the name uncultured bacterium. RNAcentral describes it as "partial 16S ribosomal RNA". It matches the Rfam family "Bacterial small subunit ribosomal RNA", at positions 524 to 776 of the family's 1533-position model. The record is from RNAcentral.